Long non-coding RNA from Vitis riparia (riverbank grape), 1286 nucleotides. RefSeq lists it as uncharacterized. The transcript is spliced from 2 exons. Lineage: Eukaryota; Viridiplantae; Streptophyta; Magnoliopsida; Vitales; Vitaceae. The record is from RefSeq and is a predicted model, not a curated record.
GAGAACUCUGUACAGACUCACAUUUUCUCAUUUCUUUUGUUUUCUUUCCUUCUUCUAUUUUGUCCUUGUUUGUUUCUUCAAAGCUUGAAUACCCAUCUCAUCGAUGACGGAGCUGCCUAUGAUCUCAAAAACCCAUUGUAUAUUCACUUUCCAACCGUGCAAAACCGCUUUCUUUGGACCCCAUUUCUUAGUUUGCUUCUGUCGUUUUCGUAUUUGUGAAUUGAAGACGAGGUGGGGGUUCUGAUUCUUGAAGAAACUCACGAGACUUACAUGGAUGAAGCAGGCCAACUCGUCGGCGUGAUCAGUGAUUGAGGCGAGAACGCUGCUGUGGUUCCUGAGAGAGGAAAUGGACGGUUUGGAUCGAAUCGGGAGGUGGAGGAGUAUAAAGCGACGGCUGGGAUUUAAGAAGAUGAGCUGCUGCGGCGCGUCCUGGGGUUUCAGGCCGUCGACGAUGACCGUGAGAGAGGAUGACAAUGACGACGACGAUGGAGUCCAAGCCCAAGCCCAAGCCCAAGCGCAGUCCAUGGCUCAGGCCAAGAGGAAGUGGGUCAGGCCUCGCCGGGGAUCAGUCCGGACCGGGGCUGCGUGGGCGAAGCUCCGGUGUCGCCGAGGAUGAACCUGGCGACGGCGCUCGCGGCCGAGAGGCAAAUGAGGGCGGCGCAGGACGUGGCGACCGUGGCGGAGGGGCCCACGAAUGGUGGGACAAGUGAGGGUGCACCUGGGACGCCGCUGAGGGUGUCGCUGCUGAGACUGCUGGAGGAAUCGGACGGUGGGGAUGGGGAGAUGGAGAAGGAGAGAGGAGCGGGGAGUGAUCAACUGUGCUGCGUGUGCAUGGGAAGAAAGAAAGGCGCAGCUUUCAUACCAUGUGGUCACACCUUUUGCAGGGUGUGUUCGAGGGAGCUGUGGUUGAACCGAGGCUCUUGUCCCCUCUGCAACCGUUCGAUUCUCGAGAUUCUGGACAUAUUCUGAGCCGUCAGAUCAACCGCCUCGGGAUCCGACGGUUGAUGGGUGGACUCAAGGAGGGAAAAUUUUUCAAAAGGGUGAUUCAAUUUUCGAUGUUACGAGGAUUUAUUUGUAAUUUGAUGAUUUUAUUGCGACUUCAAAUUUGUCUAUUUUUGUGAAUUUCCAUUUUUGGGGUGGUGCAUUGGAUUCUUGUGAGCCCAUUGAUUGCCCAUUUAUUGAUUGGGAGAAUUGUGUUUUGGGCCCAGUUGGGCCCAAAAAUUAACAAAUGGUCCAUAUAUGUUACAGAAUUAAUAGAAAGGCUAUGAGAUAUUGAGUGACCUAUA